Non-coding RNA from Mucidula mucida, 96 nucleotides. Lineage: Eukaryota; Fungi; Basidiomycota; Agaricomycetes; Agaricales; Physalacriaceae. The record is from the annotation of a GenBank genome assembly.
GUCGGUAUCGAUUAGGGGUUAAAUCACCUCGUUGUGGUCAGCUUUCGCAUCAAAAGAUGCUCCGAGGAGCCACUGGUUCGAUUCCAGUUACCGACA